UAGCCCAGGCCAUGGACGAAGUACACCCGAACCCCUGGAAAUUUUUUAUUUUCGCUUCGCGUUCGGGCUCCUCUUUAAACCGUGUGUUUCAUUUUAAUUUUGCCCUUAAA
RNAcentral lists this ribosomal RNA (110 nucleotides) under Caulerpa lentillifera. The record is from RNAcentral. Lineage: Eukaryota; Viridiplantae; Chlorophyta; Ulvophyceae; Bryopsidales; Caulerpaceae.